UACAGAGGUCUCAAGCGUUGUUCGGAUUCAUUGGGCGUAAAGGGUGCGUAGGCGGCGCGGUAAGUCGGGUGUGAAAUCUUGGAGCUUAACUCCGAAACUGCAUUCGAUACUGCCGUGCUUGAGGACUGGAGAGGAGACUGGAAUUUACGGUGUAGCGGUGAAAUGCGUAGAUAUCGUAAGGAAGACCAGUGGCGAAGGCGGGUCUCUGGACAGUUCCUGACGCGGAGGCACGAAGGCCAGGGGAGCAAACGGG
This 253-nucleotide ribosomal RNA is filed under the name uncultured bacterium. RNAcentral's name for it is "partial 16S ribosomal RNA". It matches the Rfam family "Bacterial small subunit ribosomal RNA", at positions 524 to 776 of the family's 1533-position model. The record is from RNAcentral.